UACGGAGGGCGCGAGCGUUAAUCGGAAUUACUGGGCGUAAAGCGCGCGUAGGCUGUUGUGUAAGUUGGGGGUGAAAUCCCACGGCUCAACCGUGGAACAGCCCUUGAUACUGCGCGACUUGAAUCCGGGAGAGGGUGGCGGACUUCCAGGUGUAGGAGUGAAAUCCGUAGAUAUCUGGAGGAACAUCAGUGGCGAAGGCGGCCACCUGGACCGGUAUUGACGCUGAGGCGCGAAAGCGUGGGGAGCAAACAGG
This 253-nucleotide ribosomal RNA is filed under the name uncultured bacterium. RNAcentral describes it as "partial 16S ribosomal RNA". It matches the Rfam family "Bacterial small subunit ribosomal RNA", at positions 524 to 776 of the family's 1533-position model. The record is from RNAcentral.